AUGCCGAAAUUUUUAGUGAAAUUAGAAUUUGAGCAUAGUCAAUUCUUGUUGACCCGUGACUCAAAUACAUGCCUAAUGGAAAGUUUAACUUUCUAAUUGGUUAAUUAGACGAGAUGAGAGCGAAUAGAUCUGCUAAGAAAGUGGACUUUUCGAUGUGUUAAAUAUUUCUUUUAAUUGAAGCGCUGCUAAUUAUAACAUAAGGAUGUUAUAAUUAAUGAGUAAUGACGAGAGAUAAUAAUUGUUAUAUUGAUUAACAAUCAAGAGAGAUGAACAUUAGAGAUACUAAUGUUUCAUAAAAGAGAUUAGAUUAUUAAUCGAGGUUUCUUUUAUAACUUCUCACCAAUUCUUCAUAACGAUGAAGGUCCUUUUGGGAAGUAACGACUUGAGGGAGAGAGUGACGUUACUCAUUGAUACAGAGACACAACGAGGUUGAGCUGAUGUGAUGAUGGUGCUGCAAUGAGCGGAGUCUCCAGGGUUGUUAAUAAAUAGUUAACCUGUCUAGAAUAUGUCUUCAUACAUAUGUCUAGCUACUUUUCGCUGCAAGAUGUUGUUGAUGUUAUAGUAUGUUAUGUCAUACUUUGAGUCUUAAGAGAAUGGUUGCAUAUGAUGUAUAACUUGAUUAAUGAUAUUAAUUAACUUUUAUGCAGUCUUUCAUAGACUGUUUUCAAUUGAGUAUUAAUGAAUAAAAAUGACGAGUUUUAUUAA
Long non-coding RNA from Salvia miltiorrhiza (redroot sage), 705 nucleotides. RefSeq lists it as uncharacterized. The transcript has 2 exons. NCBI's taxonomy places the organism in Eukaryota, Viridiplantae, Streptophyta, Magnoliopsida, Lamiales, Lamiaceae. The record is from RefSeq and is a predicted model, not a curated record.